Molecule: ribosomal RNA, 440 nt
Filed under: uncultured bacterium
Lineage: Bacteria
Description: bacterial SSU rRNA
Rfam family: Bacterial small subunit ribosomal RNA
Source: RNAcentral
CCUACGGGAGGCAGCAGUGGGGAAUAUUGGUCAAUGGGCGAAAGCCUGAACCAGCAAUGCCGCGUGAGUGAUGAAGGCCUUCGGGUUGUAAAGCUCUGUCGGGGGAGACGAAUAAGCUGUCUAAUAAGCAGCCUUGACGGUACCCCCAAAGGAAGCACCGGCUAACUCUGUGCCAGCAGCCGCGGUAAUACAGAGGGUGCAAGCGUUGUUCGGAAUUACUGGGCGUAAAGCGCGUGUAGGCGGUUUAGCAAGUCAGACGUGAAAUCCCUAGGCUUAACCAAGGAAUGGCGUCUGAUACUGCUAAGCUAGAGUGUCGGAGGGGAUGGCGGAAUUCCCGGUGUAGAGGUGAAAUUCGUAGAUAUCGGGAGGAACACCUGUGGCGAAGGCGGCCAUCUGGAAGACAACUGACGCUGAGACGCGAAAGCGUGGGGAGCAAACAG